This 66-nucleotide transfer RNA is filed under the name Ophiosteira sp. Op725.7. RNAcentral describes it as "tRNA-Thr". Lineage: Eukaryota; Metazoa; Echinodermata; Ophiuroidea; Amphilepidida; Ophiuridae. The record is from RNAcentral.
GUUCUGAAAGCUAUAAGCUGCCUAUCUUGUAAAUAGGAAGAAGUUAAUUAAAAUUAAUUCAGAACU